RNAcentral lists this ribosomal RNA (253 nucleotides) under uncultured bacterium. Its description in RNAcentral is "partial 16S ribosomal RNA". It matches the Rfam family "Bacterial small subunit ribosomal RNA", at positions 524 to 776 of the family's 1533-position model. The record is from RNAcentral.
UACAGAGGGGGCAAGCGUUGUUCGGAAUUACUGGGCGUAAAGGGCGCGUAGGCGGCCUGUUAAGUCGGACGUGAAAUCCCUCGGCUCAACCGGGGAACUGCGUCCGAUACUGGCGGGCUUGAAUUCGGGAGAGGGACGUGGAAUUCCAGGUGUAGCGGUGAAAUGCGUAGAUAUCUGGAGGAACACCGGUGGCGAAGGCGGCAUCCUGGACCGACAUUGACGCUGAGGCGCGAAAGCCAGGGGAGCAAACGGG